GAUGCCACCUACCCGAAACCAACGCUGCUUUCCGCCGCCAACAGAGGCGACGCCGCCUGCCAUCCUACCAAUGGGCCGCUGCCGCUUGGGGCUACAGCAGGAGUAGUAGCGACGGGGCCGAGGUCCUUCGUGCGCUCCGGGAUGAAGGCCGCAAUUUCGUCGAGGUCGUUGCUGCCUCCGGCAUUUGGGGUGUGUCGCCGAGAUCGAGGCGAGCAUGAGGAGCUGUGGCCACCACCAUGGUCACCCUGUCGCAGGGCAUGGAGCAAGCCCUCAGCCUACAACUCGUGGAGAUCACCGUUGCUCUUCAGGUCACGGGGUGACUGGAUCUUGCCGAUGUGGCCCUCCUCAACGACCUCCUCUUCGCCCGGUUCACCGGCAUGGAUCUCGCCACUGCUACCCUCAACUUCUCUGCCUCGAGCCCGAUGGUCAGCCACCAUGGAUUCCUCAGCUGGAGGGUCACAUGACCCAGCCGUCCUCCCAUGCUGCAGCGGCUAGAAGGCGACAUGGCUCUCCGUACAUGAAGAGUGGAGUUCAGUCAAGUAUAUACUUGGCCUCUACUGCUGAUCCAUGUACAUGGAGAAAAACAAACAACCGCUCAUUCAUGCUUCGCUCCACUCCUUUGCGCUACAUUACUGGAGGUGACAUUUUCCUAUCUCUCUAUCUUGUAACAAGCCUGAUGCCUGCAUUGUUAAUGGAUUUUCUUAUAAUUUAUCGCUGCUUAGUGCUUUGUUGCAAUUGUUCACCCAAGAUUCUUAUAUAUAAUCUAAGCGUAUGUAGACAUACUUAGCUUUGCUAUUCCAUUUUUCUGGCGCAUAGAAAUAAGAGUAUUGUCCAGGUUAGGAUUUCAAUUGAGGAAAAAGUGAACAAGUAAAAUUUUCUUGCAAGAAAUAUAAUCUAAGCUAUUGAUGUUUCUUCCGUAUCAGUUCUUGAGUUAGAUUAGACUGUCCAUCUUCUCAUUUUCAUUGCCACGCUAUUAAAUUUGAAUCCGCCUUUUUUAUUCCAAUUUAAAUCAACAUCUAUGGAAUUUAUAGCACGAAAAUACUCUCAAAAUAUCAUACCAUUAAAUUUAAGUGGUCGGACCCUCUCCGGACACUGCACAAGUGGGAGCUACGUGUACUGUGCUUUUUAUAUUUGGUAGAAAUUUCUUUGGAGCAAAAUUUUCUGGACCUCCCAUCAUAUUUGCCCCUGAACGCUGAUAAAAUUUAAUGAGCUGCAUUGAGAAAUUUUGAUUGGUAAAGCUAUAAAGUUUAGUCUAUACUACUAUUAAACAAGCAAACAUUUUCUUCCCUAACCAUACCCUGCUCAGUGUACACAUAACAAUCCGGAGUAAUUAGAGCCACAAGAUCGAAUCCACUUAUUUAGAUCUAAUCGUAAAGAUAACAAUAAUCCUCACCAAAAGUGUGUUUAGCAAUUUUAGAGGGGAGACAAAAAAUCUGCCAUCCACUCGCCAGCAUUAUUUAGGUACGGGAAAAAAUGGCACAAUAUACGGAAACAACACGCCGGGGCAGCGGCGCAUCUUCGGGAAUCAGGGAGAAGAAGGAUAGGCAUGGCGGCGACUGAGGAGGUGCUCGCCAGCGCGCAGGAUUGGAUCGGGGUGCUUCCCCGCAGUCGCGGUCGUCCUUGCGAUGCCACCUACCCGAAACCAACGCUGCUCUCCGCCGCCAGCCGAGGCAACGCCGCCUGCCCUCCUACCCACGGGCCGCUGCCGCUUGGGGCUACGGCGGGAGGAGUAGCGACGGGGCCGAGGUCCUCCGUGUGCUCCGGGAUGAAGGCCACAAUUUCGUCGAGGUCGUUGCUGCCUCCGGCAUUCGAGAUGUGUUGCCGAGAUCAAGGCGAGCAUGAGGAGUUGUGGCCACCGCCAUGGUCACCUCGUCGCAGGGCAUGGAGCACGCCGUCGGCCUACAGCUCGUGGAGAUCACCGUUAGAUAGAUUUGGAUCCGCCUUUUUUCAUUCCCAUUUAAAUCAACAUCUAUGGAAUUUGUAGCACGAAAAUAAUCUAAAAUAUCAUACCAUUUCAAUUUUUAUUUUUUCAUAUUUGGCAUAAAUUUAAGUGGUCGGACCCUUCUCCGGACACUGCGCAAGCAGGAGCUACGUGUACCGGGCUUUUUAUAGUUGCCAGAAAUUUCUUUGGAGCAAAAUUUUCUGGACCUCCCAUCAUAUUUGCCCCUGAACGCUGAUAAAAUUUAAUGAGCUGCUUUGAGAAAUUUUGAUCGGUAAAGCUAUAAAGUUUAGGUCGAAUAUGUGAUUGGUGGCGAUACGCCGAAUGAUGUGGCGGCAGAUGGGCUAUGCUCUGGCAAUGAUUACAGGGAUGGCGCAGGAGGAAGUUUGCGAUGAUGGAAAGAAGAAAUGUCCGAAGAAUGACCAAUGCGGGUUAUUACAUGAUUUGGAUGUGCAAUAUUUUUGAAAGUAAAGGUUUCAAGCAUGGUUCACUUUUAACUGGCGAUAAUGCUCUCGAGUCAUAUAUGAAGGAAAUAUGCCCUAGAGGCAAUAAUAAAUUUAUUAUUUUAUAUUUCCUUAUAUCAUGAUAAAUGUUUAUUAUUCAUGCUAGAAUUGUAUUAAA
This is a long non-coding RNA of Aegilops tauschii subsp. strangulata, 2560 nucleotides long. RefSeq lists it as uncharacterized. Lineage: Eukaryota; Viridiplantae; Streptophyta; Magnoliopsida; Poales; Poaceae. The record is from RefSeq and is a predicted model, not a curated record.